AUUGAACGCUGGCGGCAUGCUUUACACAUGCAAGUCGAACGGCAGCGCGGGCUUCGGCCUGGCGGCGAGUGGCGAACGGGUGAGUAAUGCAUCGGAACGUGCCCAGUAGUUGGGGAUAGCCCGGCGAAAGCCGGAUUAAUACCGCAUACGACCUGAGGGUGAAAGCGGGGGACCGAAAGGCCUCGCGCUAUUUGAGCGGCCGAUGUCGUGUUAGCUAGUUGGUGGGGUAAAGGCUUACCAAGGCGACGAUCCGUAGCUGGUCUGAGAGGACGACCAGCCACACUGGGACUGAGACACGGCCCAGACUCCUACGGGAGGCAGCAGUGGGGAAUUUUGGACAAUGGGGGAAAGCCUGAUCCAGCCAUGCCGCGUGCGGGAAGAAGGCCUUCGGGUUGUAAAACGCUUUUGUUCGGGAAGAAAUCCUGUGGGCUAAUACCCCGGGGGGAUGACGGUACCGGAAGAAUAAGCACCGGCUAACUACGUG
This 484-nucleotide ribosomal RNA is filed under the name uncultured bacterium. Its description in RNAcentral is "partial 16S ribosomal RNA". It matches the Rfam family "Bacterial small subunit ribosomal RNA", at positions 29 to 507 of the family's 1533-position model. The record is from RNAcentral.